GGGCAAACUAGGCGGCGGGAAUCAAAAUAUGGAGGCAUCAAAAUAUUGAUUCUAGUGGGCGGAGCUUUGACCAUAUAUGGGCAUAGAAUCAAUAUUUUGAUUCAAUUUGGGACAUUCCCACCUUCAGACGACCCGUUACGGCGGAAAUAACCCCCAUGACGGCGAGAUUUUUUGACAAGUCAAUACAAAAAUCUUCCCGGCUUCAAUUUUUCGCUGCAUGGCUAUCAGCCGUUUGUCGCGCGUACCUUUACGAAUGGCAUAAAGAUUUCGCCGCCAUAAUUCAACAAAAACGUGCUGUUAAAACUUGCUCUGUUUAUCAUUAACGACGAGCCUUUGUAAUUUUUUCAUAAUUUUGUCUAAAAGAAAAUAAAAAAUGCGUUAUUUAGUUGUAUAAUUCAUUUAUAAGAAAUAUUCUUUUUCUUAGUAUCUAGCCACGAUUUCCGGUUCCCGCCAUUUCGCGCCGGCGUCGUGGGUGUUCGGGUGCAACGUAGUGCUCCCGGUUUUAUUUUGUUUAAGCGACCUUUUCUGAAGUGUCAACCAAGGAUCGAACACUGGUUGUUGCGGGGAUUAGCUUCAGAGGGUCAAGGAUGGCGUCUUGAAUCGCUGUUCAGUCGACAGGCAACUGUAUGACAACGCCAUCCCUGUCAACCAGAGCGUCGACCGAAGUAGGGCGGCGUUACGCGGACCUGGCCGCACCCGACCAACCGGUGGAGUACCUGACUCGGGCUGGGCGGAGACUACCUACAUCACGACCUUUUGAACUUUAAUCUCGUUGCGAGAAACAAUAUGACGUAAGGAAGUGUGUAUAUGGGCGCCGAUGACCACUGUAGUCCGGGCGCCUAAAAACCCCAAUUCAUCAUCAUCAUCAAGGAAGUGUGUAUGUGGCUGGCGGGGCCGAGGGUGAAAUGCGCCACGUGUUUAUCCUGCCGGAUGACGACAGCGUCACCAACCUGUCAAAGAACGAGCUGGUGCAGCGCGUGAUGACUGCUAUCUCGUCCCUAGAACCGGAAUAGAAAAACGUGCGCAUAGCCCAAAUGAAGCGAACCAAAACACAGACAGGACUGAUAGCUUUUCGGUCGAGAAUGUUCUGAAGAUGCUGAUCAGUAGACCACUUGGUGACCGUUUUCGGUGGUAAUAUGGGAUCUUGUGGUGUUCCAAAGCGACCUGCUUUGGGUGUGGACAUAAGUGGCUCAACCUGACAGGAUUGAUGUUUUAGGUAGCCGUGCUAAUCAUAAACCCUAUAUUGAGUGUAUCUGUACAAAUUUUGUUUAUAUUUAUUUCAUGUAUUUGAUUCGAAACCGAAAAUGGCUCUUUGUAAUUAGGCAACAUCAAGACGUUGAGGUCAUUCUCCAGACGUUUAUUUGUUUUUUCUUACCUGUCCACGGUAUGUCUUAUUGGUUAGGUCUCAGUUUCAAAUAUUAUUAACUGCAUGUUUUGCAAAUACGUAGCCAUAUUGAAUAAGAGACGUGUCCUAAAAGUGAGUAUUGCUUUGCAUGGGAUGUGAGCAUCAACGACAGGGCUUUGUGAUGGCAAAUGUGUGGCAAUUGCAGGGAUCGUUGUGAAAUAUGUUAUGAAUAUCAUCGUAUUAUUUGCGACUGUAAAUACAUCCGUGUAUCAUAUUAUCA
Amphibalanus amphitrite is the source of this 1625-nucleotide long non-coding RNA. RefSeq lists it as uncharacterized. The record is from RefSeq and is a predicted model, not a curated record. The transcript has 2 exons. Lineage: Eukaryota; Metazoa; Arthropoda; Thecostraca; Balanomorpha; Balanidae.